UACGAAGGGUGCAAGCGUUACUCGGAAUUACUGGGCGUAAAGCGUGCGUAGGUGGUGAGUUAAGUCUGUCGUGAAAGCCCCGGGCUCAACCUGGGAAUGGCGAUGGAUACUGGCUCGCUAGAGUGCGGUAGAGGAGAGUGGAAUUCCCGGUGUAGCGGUGAAAUGCGCAGAUAUCGGGAGGAACACCAAUGGCGAAGGCAGCUCGCUGGGACGGUACUGACGCUGAGACGCGAAAGCGUGGGGAGCAAACAGG
Molecule: ribosomal RNA, 253 nt
Filed under: uncultured bacterium
Lineage: Bacteria
Description: partial 16S ribosomal RNA
Rfam family: Bacterial small subunit ribosomal RNA
Source: RNAcentral